Molecule: ribosomal RNA, 604 nt
Filed under: Argyrodes fasciatus
Lineage: Eukaryota; Metazoa; Arthropoda; Arachnida; Araneae; Theridiidae
Description: partial 16S ribosomal RNA
Rfam family: Archaeal large subunit ribosomal RNA (bases 222-513)
Source: RNAcentral
UCGCCUGUUUUAACAAAAACAUUGCUUAUAGAAUUAAUUUAUUAUAAGUAAAACCUGCUCAAUGGAAUAGUUCUUAAUAGCCGCAAUUUUUCUGUGCUAAGGUAGCAUAAUCAUUUGUUUUUUAAUUAAAAUCUAGAAUGAAAGGUUUAACAUUUAAAUCUCUAUAUUUUGAAUAUUUUACGAAAUUAUAUUAAAUAUAAAAAUAUAUUUAUAAAAAAAUCAGACGAUAAGACCCUAUUGAAUUUUACUUAUGUUUAGCUGGGGCAGCUACUAAAUUAAAAUUUUCAGUUUAUAUUAAAUUAAAUUAUCCAAUAAAAUUGAAUUUUGAUCAAAUUACCAUAGGGAUAACAGCGUAAUUUUUAUUCAAAGUUCUUAUUUAAAUAAAAGUUUGCGACCUCGAUGUUGAAUUAAAUUUCCUUAAUUUCGCAAUAGAAAUUCAAGUAGGUCUGUUCGACCUUUAAAAAUUUACAUGAUUUGAGUUCAAACCGGUGUAAACCAGGUUGGUUUCUAUCUUUUUUCAUUAUUUUCUAGUACGAAAGGACAAAAAAUAAUAUUUUAAAUAAUAAAUUGGCAGAAAAAUGCAUUAGAAUUAGAAUCUAAAUUA